CCACGAAAGUAUGUGCAAGCCAUUUGUUAAGAAGCUAAUGAUACUAUAUUAGGCCGGGUGCAGUGGCUCAUGCCUGUAAUCCCAGCACUUUAGGAGACUGAGGCAGAUGGAUCACUUGAGGUUGUGCUAGAUGACUGUACAGACUUGGGAUUUGAGGUUUAGAUACAGACAUACUUGGGUCCCUUCCUACUCCCUUUUAUAAUCCUUAAGUAAUUAAUAAUGGUUCCGUUCAUCACUUUAGAAAAUUUGGGGGAAUUAUUUUCAAAUAAUUUUAAUAAACUUCUAUGUUAGGAUUACAGGUGUGAGCCGCCGUGCCCAGUCUGAAGAGUCUGUAUGGAGUGAGGUGUGGAUCCCAAGGUUAGGGAACCCCAAAUUCCUGGAAGAG
Molecule: long non-coding RNA, 385 nt
Filed under: Homo sapiens (human)
Lineage: Eukaryota; Metazoa; Chordata; Mammalia; Primates; Hominidae
Description: non-protein coding lnc-DOCK11-3:1
Source: RNAcentral